AGAAAAUAGGAGUGGGGGUGAGAGAGAAAUUAGGAGGGGGGUGAGAAAGAGAAAUUGGGAGGAGGAGAAGGAAAUUGGAGCGGGAGGAGAGAUUGACAUUCAUCACAUACACACAAUGCAUCCCUUGCACACAGAAAAACACACAGACACACAUACACAAGCAAUGCAACCGUUACACACAAUGCAUCCCUUACACACACAGAAACACACAAUGCAUUCAUUACAC
Molecule: non-coding RNA, 226 nt
Organism: Pelobates cultripes (western spadefoot toad)
Lineage: Eukaryota; Metazoa; Chordata; Amphibia; Anura; Pelobatidae
Source: the annotation of a GenBank genome assembly